RNAcentral lists this long non-coding RNA (550 nucleotides) under Cottoperca gobio. Its description in RNAcentral is "lncRNA (ENSCGOG00000020926.1)". Lineage: Eukaryota; Metazoa; Chordata; Actinopteri; Perciformes; Bovichtidae. The record is from RNAcentral.
GCUGAUUUUUCUCCAAACAGGUCUGCAGCCCUGAAGACCCAAAGCACAACAGCAAAGCAGAGGGGCCAUCAACCAAUAUUAAUAUCAAUAUUGCAAAAUUGACAUCUUUGACAGUUGAACUCUCCACGUUGCAGAGAGAAACUAUGGAGAAAGGUUUGUCGUGUUGCUGCUGGCUGAAGCUCAUCUGUGCUGGCUGGAGAAACCCUGCAGAACUGCCAGGAUGAGCAGAGCUGCAGCCAGAGAUGCUGCUUCGGCCUGAGAGGGCACAUGCAUCAAUGUGUAGAGAUGUCAGAAUGAUGGGCCGCCGCAGCACAGCGCCCCGAGCAGUUAGGGGCUCGCUGCCUUGCUCAAGGGCACCUCAGCGGUUCCCAGAAGGUGAACUGGCACCUCUCCAGAUACCAGUCCACACGCCGUACUUGGUCCGACUGGCGACCCUAAGGUUCCCAAGCCAAGUCCCUGUGGACUGAGCUACUGCAGCCCUGCUAUCUGCAUUUAAAAUGUUAAAGAUGUACUUAAUAAAUAAGUCUACAGUGAUUUGUAGUUAAGUGAC